RNAcentral lists this ribosomal RNA (436 nucleotides) under uncultured bacterium. RNAcentral's name for it is "bacterial SSU rRNA". It matches the Rfam family "Bacterial small subunit ribosomal RNA", at positions 958 to 1394 of the family's 1533-position model. The record is from RNAcentral.
AACGCGAAGAACCUUACCUGCCCUUGACAUAUAGAGGAGUCUUUAGAGAUAGAGAUGUGCCGAGAGGAGCUCUAAUACAGGUGCUGCAUGGCUGUCGUCAGCUCGUGUCGUGAGAUGUUGGGUUAAGUCCCGUAACGAGCGCAACCCUUAUACUUAGUUGCCAACAGGUAGAGCUGGGAACUCUAGGUAGACUGCCGGUGUUAAACCGGAGGAAGGCGGGGACGAUGUCAAGUCAUCAUGGCCCAUACGGGCAGGGCUACACACGUGCUACAAUGGCUAGUACAGAGGGCGGCGAAGUCGUGAGAUGGAGCAAAUCCUUAAAAGCUAGUCGUAGUCCGGAUUGAAGUCUGCAACUCGACUUCAUGAAGUCGGAAUCGCUAGUAAUCGCAAAUCAGCAUGUUGCGGUGAAUACGUUCCCGGGUCUUGUACACACGCA